This 252-nucleotide ribosomal RNA is filed under the name uncultured bacterium. RNAcentral describes it as "partial 16S ribosomal RNA". It matches the Rfam family "Bacterial small subunit ribosomal RNA", at positions 524 to 776 of the family's 1533-position model. The record is from RNAcentral.
UACGGAGGAUGCGAGCAUUAUCCGGAUUUAUUGGGUUUAAAGGGUGCGUAGGCGGACGCUUAAGUCAGCGGUAAAAUUGCGGGGCUCAACCUCGUCGAGCCGUUGAAACUGGGUGUCUUGAGUGGGCGAGAAGUACGCGGAAUGCGUGGUGUAGCGGUGAAAUGCAUAGAUAUCGCGCAGAACUCCGAUUGCGAAGGCAGCGUACCGGCGCCCAACUGACGCUGAAGCACGAAGGCGUGGGUAUCGAACAGG